UACAGAGGUCCCGAGCGUUGUUCGGCUUCAUUGGGCGUAAAGGGUGCGUAGGCGGCGGGGCAAGUCUGAUGUGAAAUCCCGGGGCUCAACCCCGGAACUGCAUUGGAUACUGCCUUGCUUGAGUACUGGAGAGGGAACUGGAAUUUACGGUGUAGCAGUGAAAUGCGUAGAGAUCGUAAGGAAGGCCAGUGGCGAAGGCGAGUUCCUGGACAGUUACUGACGCUGAGGCACGAAGGCCAGGGGAGCAAACGGG
This 253-nucleotide ribosomal RNA is filed under the name uncultured bacterium. RNAcentral describes it as "partial 16S ribosomal RNA". It matches the Rfam family "Bacterial small subunit ribosomal RNA", at positions 524 to 776 of the family's 1533-position model. The record is from RNAcentral.